CGGCGUCAUUUCGGAAGAGGUGCUGUGAAAGGUAAUACAAUAUAUCGAGUGUCUUUAGAACAGAUAAGAGUAAUGAAAUCCGAACCUUCAAGUCCUAAACGAGACCGAGAUAGGUCUCCAUUUGGACUAGACAUGGACAGGAAUGAAGAAAAUGACAAAGAUCGUAACAAGGAAAGAGAUCGUGACAGAGCUCGUCGUGGAGACAGGCCGACCAGAUUUGGCCCACGUAGUAGCAGUACAACACGGGACAGAGAACGUGAACGUGGAAGGAAAUCAACUUCUGAUAGACGAAUCUAUGUUUCCAACAUAGCUUAUGAGUACAAAUGGCAAGAAUUAAAAGAUUUAUUCAGACAAGAAGUUGGAGAAGUUUCUUACGUUGAACUCUUCAUGGAUGAAAAUGACAAACCGCGGGGCUGUGGUAUCGUAGAAUUUGAAUCGCCGGAGUCUGUGAAAAAAGCUGUGGAAAAAAUGCACCGGUUUGAUCUUAAAGGCAGAAAGCUGGUUGUUAAAGAGGACUUUGGUGUUGACAGAGACAAAUAUGGUCGUCCAAUUAAAGGUGGCGGUGGCGGUGGUGGUGGCGGUGCUGCUGGUGGAGUAGGUGGUGGUGGCACUGCAGGCAUGGGCCAGGGAGCAGGUAAUUUAGCUCGAGGGAGAGAUGAUGUCCGUGCCAAGUGGGAUCAUCCUGCUCCACCACUACCAUUGCAGACAGCAUUUCCAGCGUUGGGGUCUCAGCAGGCUGCAAAUGCUGCUGCAGCUGCCGCUGCAAGUAGCAAGUGGGGAAAUACAUAUGGACUUAGUCCGGAAUUUCUUGAGUCUCUCUGGAUAACUGGCCCUUUGAACACAAGAGUUUUUGUUGCCAAUCUGGACUACAAAGUAGACGAAAAGAAGCUAAAAGAAGUAUUUAAACUGGCCGGAAAAGUGGUCAGUGCAGAAAUUAGUACUGAUAAAGAAGGCAAGAGUAGGGGAUUUGGUGUUGUUGAAUAUGAACAUCCAGUGGAAGCUGUUCAAGCUAUUUCUAUGUUGCAUAAUCAGAUGUUGUACGACAGGAAAAUCACUGUAAGGAUGGAUCGCAUAGAACACAAACAAGAAGGACCAUUGAAACUUCCUGAAGGUUUGAGAGGCCUAGGAAUGGGUCUUGGUGCUGGUGGAGCUCCACUUCAGGAUGUUGCAAGAGCGGCAUCAGCACUGUCUAAUGUUGUUGGUCCAGCAUCUUUGGGUUUGAGUAACAAUGCAGCUUUGCCUGCCAGUUUAACUGGUGUGGGUGGCUUAGGAGCUGCUGCAGCAGGUGGCCUUAUGGGAGCCGGAGGUGGUGAUAUUGGUUUAGGAGGAGGGAUUGGGGCAGGUGGUGCAUUUGGGGGAAGCAAUUUAGGUGCAGGAUUAGGUGCUGGGGGAGCAGGACUAGGUGUUGGUUUGGGUGGAGGAGGAGGAUCAUUUGGUGGAAAUAUUGGCACUGGAGGUGGCAGUUCAUUUAUGGGUGGCGGUGCUGGAGGCGCCUUCGGUGGUGGAGCAGCAGGCUUAGUGGGUAAUAGUGCGUUCGGAGGCGGUGGACGUGAUUUUGAUUCUCUUAACUCUAGUCUUGGGGGUGGUGGAGGAGGAGGUGGUUAUGGCUCUGGUUUAGGGGAAAGAGAUUUUAGAGGGGCAGCGGAUGGUGGAUUUGCCAAUGGACCAUCAAGAGGAAUUGGAAUGGGAGGUGCAGCAGUUCCAGGUCAUAGAGGUUCAGAUACUAUCCUGAUCAAAAAUCUUCCUCCUUCUGCAACAUGGCAGAUGCUUCGGGAUAAAUAUGGGGAGAUCGGAGAUGUCAAAUUCGCAGAGAUUAGGGGUAAAGAGAUUGGCUUAGUGCGUUUCAGCUCUGAAUUGGAGGCCGAGCGUGCAGUCCAUAUGACGGAUCGCACUCGUUUGGAAGGCCGUACUAUUGAUGUAUCUCUCUUCUAUUAGGGUGGUUUGAAUUGUGGUCAUCAGUUGGAGUUUGAUAGGCUUCAAAGAAGACUGCUCGGCAAAUAAGCUGGACCUUACUUUCUUGGGGUGUAAGUGGGAGUUACUCCCAUGUUUGACGAUACUCUCUGAGAAGCAGUAGCAUGGAAGUUCUCCAAGGAAAUUUUAAAACAGCUGAUCAUUGACAACUGGGGAAAAUAUUUCACAAAGUGCUGCUUAGCCUGUAAGGUUAUCAACCUGUUUCAUCGUGCACCAGUCUGCAUAUAAAUUGUAGAUUUGUUCCAGAACUUUCAUUCCUCAUCGCAAUUUCUGAAAUUGGGCUAGAAGUCAUGCUUAAAUAAUUUGGACAACCCCAAUGACUUCAAUCACAUGGUAGCUCUUGCUGGAAUGUGAAGUUUUGGGGCCAAAGGUGCCAGUCUUCGAAGUACGUGUUCCUUCUAUAAGGCAAUAAAUAAGUAAAAUUUAAACAUUAGUAAUGCAUUGUAUAAUGUGGACAUAAUUUUAUAAUGGAACAAGUGGAAUAUUGAUUAAAUCGUAACAACAUUAAAAGAGUCACUAUGGAAUAA
This is an RNA transcript of Schistocerca serialis cubense, 2498 nucleotides long. It is a transcript of the gene named myelin expression factor 2, with no coding region annotated. Lineage: Eukaryota; Metazoa; Arthropoda; Insecta; Orthoptera; Acrididae. The record is from RefSeq and is a predicted model, not a curated record.